AAUUCAUAAAAAUAACCAUAGAAAGACCACUUCAAGAUACUGAAAGACAAAGCGAUUGCAUUUCAGGUCCUGACAUCUCAAAUGAAAUCAUAUUUUUGUAAUCCCUGCUAAAAAAUGCAAUAACUUGUUCACGAAACCAUGAAUUUUGCAUAACUCCUUAAAUAAUCACAAUGAAAAAGAAAUGAAAAAAAAUAAAACAAUCAACAUAUUUAAAAAGUGACUUCAACUAAACACAUCAGAACUCCUAUAAUUACCUUCCCAGAAGAUGUUUACAGAACCAUAACAAAAUAAACGAGGACACCUAACUGUGUAUUCACACCCCAAUUGAGAUAAACCCACUAAAGGUAAUUCAAUAAACCUAUUACUUAGUCUCAAAGUCUCAAGAUUCUCAAGACAUUCACAAGAGAGCAUCAUAUAAUCUCAUUACUACCAGUAUAUGUAAUUAUGUUGGUGAUCCUAUUUACAGAACCAACAUGUGUGCUCAAUGCAAAAUACAUAAAAGUCAUUGCUUAUGCUAAUACCCAAAUACCCUAUAAAAUUCGCUUAAGGUGAAAAUCAAUAGACAAAUAUGCGAAUAAGU
This is a non-coding RNA of Camellia sinensis, 580 nucleotides long. Lineage: Eukaryota; Viridiplantae; Streptophyta; Magnoliopsida; Ericales; Theaceae. The record is from RefSeq and is a predicted model, not a curated record.